UACGUAGGGGGCAAGCGUUGUCCGGAAUCAUUGGGCGUAAAGCGCGUGUAGGCGGCCCGGUAAGUCCGCUGUGAAAGUCCAGGGCUCAACCCUGGGAUGCCGGUGGAUACUGUCGGGCUCGAGUCCGGAAGAGGCGAGUGGAAUUCCUGGUGUAGCGGUGAAAUGCGCAGAUAUCAGGAGGAACACCCGUGGCGAAAGCGGCUCUCUGGGACGGUACUGACGCUGAGACGCGAAAGCGUGGGGAGCAAACAGG
Molecule: ribosomal RNA, 253 nt
Filed under: uncultured bacterium
Lineage: Bacteria
Description: partial 16S ribosomal RNA
Rfam family: Bacterial small subunit ribosomal RNA
Source: RNAcentral